GACGAACGCUGGCGGCGUGCUUAACACAUGCAAGUCGAACGGAAAGGCCCUGCUUUUGUGGGGUGCUCGAGUGGCGAACGGGUGAGUAACACGUGAGUAACCUGCCCUUGACUUUGGGAUAACUUCAGGAAACUGGGGCUAAUACCGGAUAGGAGCUCCUGCUGCAUGGUGGGGGUUGGAAAGUUUCGGCGGUUGGGGAUGGACUCGCGGCUUAUCAGCUUGUUGGUGGGGUAGUGGCUUACCAAGGCUUUGACGGGUAGCCGGCCUGAGAGGGUGACCGGCCACAUUGGGACUGAGAUACGGCCCAGACUCCUACGGGAGGCAGCAGUGGGGAAUAUUGCACAAUGGGCGGAAGCCUGACGCAGCAACGCCGCGUGCGGGAUGACGGCCUUCGGGUUGUAAACCGCUUUCGCCUGUGACGAAGCGUGAGUGACGGUAAUGGUAAAGAAGCACCGGCUAACUACGUG
This 467-nucleotide ribosomal RNA is filed under the name uncultured bacterium. Its description in RNAcentral is "partial 16S ribosomal RNA". It matches the Rfam family "Bacterial small subunit ribosomal RNA", at positions 28 to 507 of the family's 1533-position model. The record is from RNAcentral.